GACGAACGCUGGCGGCGUGCUUAACACAUGCAAGUCGAACGGAAAGGCCCUGCUUUUGUGGGGUGCUCGAGUGGCGAACGGGUGAGUAACACGUGAGUAACCUGCCCUUGACUUUGGGAUAACUUCAGGAAACUGGGGCUAAUACCGGAUAGGAGCUCCUGCUGCAUGGUGGGGGUUGGAAAGUUUCGGCGGUUGGGGAUGGACUCGCGGCUUAUCAGCUUGUUGAUGGGGUAGUGGCUUACCAAGGCUUUGACGGGUAGCCGGCCUGAGAGGGUGACCGGCCACAUUGGGACUGAGAUACGGCCCAGACUCCUACGGGAGGCAGCAGUGGGGAAUAUUGCACAAUGGGCGGAAGCCUGAUGCAGCAACGCCGCGUGCGGGAUGACGGCCUUCGGGUUGUAAACCGCUUUCGCCUGUGACGAAGCGUGAGUGACGGUAAUGGGUAAAGAGGCACCGGCUAACUACGUG
This 468-nucleotide ribosomal RNA is filed under the name uncultured bacterium. Its description in RNAcentral is "partial 16S ribosomal RNA". It matches the Rfam family "Bacterial small subunit ribosomal RNA", at positions 28 to 507 of the family's 1533-position model. The record is from RNAcentral.